Molecule: non-coding RNA, 497 nt
Organism: Pelobates cultripes (western spadefoot toad)
Lineage: Eukaryota; Metazoa; Chordata; Amphibia; Anura; Pelobatidae
Source: the annotation of a GenBank genome assembly
AGGUAUCACGUACCGUAUCUCAGGCGUCAUGGAAGCCACUGCGCAGGAGCAAAACUUGCAGGCAUUGAUUAAUGCGGCUGUGGCCGCCUCUGUGAAGAAAGCCCUGGCGAGGGCUCUUCCUCAACCUCAGACUGACAGGGGUGCGAGAGGAACCCCCCUUUUGGCAGACGACUCGGCUGAGUCAGACUCUCAGGAAAGAGAGCAGGCAAGUGCGCAAAUGCGCUAUUGGAAGGGUGAAGGCCCUGAACCACGCUCCCGGAAGUGCAAGACUCCGGCGAAGCGACAUGGUUCGAGGUUAUCAACCUUGCUGGGCAGGCGCCGUCGUAUAUCGGGCGCAGGGGAGGAGGCCUCCUUACCCCCCCUACUAUGGCCGUGUUGGAUGAGUGGCGGGCAGACCAGUCCCCUUCAGAUGAAGAUGGAGAUUGGGUUGAGGACCGUGGGGACCGUGGCCCCAGUUGGCGCUGGGAGGACGAAGACGCGCCAGGGACAGAGGCCCC